CAUGGCUCAGGAUGAACGCUGGCGGCGUGCCUAAUACAUGCAAGUCGAGCGAAUGGAUUAAGAGCUUGCUCUUAUGAAGUUAGCGGCGGACGGGUGAGUAACACGUGGGUAACCUGCCCAUAAGACUGGGAUAACUCCGGGAAACCGGGGCUAAUACCGGAUAACAUUUUGAACCGCAUGGUUCGAAAUUGAAAGGCGGCUUCGGCUGUCACUUAUGGAUGGACCCGCGUCGCAUUAGCUAGUUGGUGAGGUAACGGCUCACCAAGGCAACGAUGCGUAGCCGACCUGAGAGGGUGAUCGGCCACACUGGGACUGAGACACGGCCCAGACUCCUACGGGAGGCAGCAGUAGGGAAUCUUCCGCAAUGGACGAAAGUCUGACGGAGCAACGCCGCGUGAGUGAUGAAGGCUUUCGGGUCGUAAAACUCUGUUGUUAGGGAAGAACAAGUGCUAG
RNAcentral lists this ribosomal RNA (453 nucleotides) under Bacillus cereus. RNAcentral describes it as "bacterial SSU rRNA". It matches the Rfam family "Bacterial small subunit ribosomal RNA", at positions 18 to 459 of the family's 1533-position model. The record is from RNAcentral. Lineage: Bacteria; Bacillati; Bacillota; Bacilli; Caryophanales; Bacillaceae.